GAUGAACGCUGGCGGCGUGCCUAAUACAUGCAAGUCGAGCGGAAAGGCCUCUUCGGAGGUACUCGAGCGGCGGACGGCUGAGUAACGCGUAGGAACGUACCCCAAACUGAGGGAUAACUGCUCGAAAGAGUAGCUAAUACCGCAUGUGCUCUACGGAGUAAAGCUUCGGCGGUUUGGGAACGGCCUGCGUAAGGUUAGAUUGUUGGUAAGGUAAUGGCUUACCAAGGCGACGAUCUUUAGCUGGUCUGAGAGGAUGAUCAGCCAGACUGGGACUGAGACACGGCCCAGACUCCUACGGGAGGCAGCAGUAGGGAAUUUUCCACAAUGGGCGAAAGCCUGAUGGAGCAACGCCGCGUGCAGGAUGAAUGCCUUCGGGUUGUAAACUGCUUUUAUAAGUGAAGAAUAUGACGGUAACUUAUGAAUAAGGAUCGGCUAACUCCGUGCCAGCCGCCGCGGUAA
Molecule: ribosomal RNA, 459 nt
Filed under: uncultured bacterium
Lineage: Bacteria
Description: partial 16S ribosomal RNA
Rfam family: Bacterial small subunit ribosomal RNA
Source: RNAcentral